This 718-nucleotide ribosomal RNA is filed under the name uncultured bacterium. RNAcentral's name for it is "bacterial SSU rRNA". It matches the Rfam family "Bacterial small subunit ribosomal RNA", at positions 35 to 749 of the family's 1533-position model. The record is from RNAcentral.
GCUGGCGGCAGGCCUAACACAUGCAAGUCGAGCGGUAGAGAGAAGCUUGCUUCUCUUGAGAGCGGCGGACGGGUGAGUAAAGCCUAGGAAUCUGCCUGGUAGUGGGGGAUAACGUUCGGAAACGGACGCUAAUACCGCAUACGUCCUACGGGAGAAAGCAGGGGACCUUCGGGCCUUGCGCUAUCAGAUGAGCCUAGGUCGGAUUAGCUAGUUGGUGAGGUAAUGGCUCACCAAGGCGACGAUCCGUAACUGGUCUGAGAGGAUGAUCAGUCACACUGGAACUGAGACACGGUCCAGACUCCUACGGGAGGCAGCAGUGGGGAAUAUUGGACAAUGGGCGAAAGCCUGAUCCAGCCAUGCCGCGUGUGUGAAGAAGGUCUUCGGAUUGUAAAGCACUUUAAGUUGGGAGGAAGGGCAUUAACCUAAUACGUUAGUGUUUUGACGUUACCGACAGAAUAAGCACCGGCUAACUCUGUGCCAGCAGCCGCGGUAAUACAGAGGGUGCAAGCGUUAAUCGGAAUUACUGGGCGUAAAGCGCGCGUAGGUGGUUUGUUAAGUUGGAUGUGAAAUCCCCGGGCUCAACCUGGGAACUGCAUUCAAACUGACUGACUAGAGUGUGGUAGAGGGUGGUGGAAUUUCCUGUUGUAGCGGUGAAAUGCGUAGAUAUAGGAGGGAACACCAGUGGCGAGGCGACCACCUGGACCAACACUGACACUGA